Long non-coding RNA from Lolium perenne, 1683 nucleotides. RefSeq lists it as uncharacterized. The record is from RefSeq and is a predicted model, not a curated record. Lineage: Eukaryota; Viridiplantae; Streptophyta; Magnoliopsida; Poales; Poaceae.
CUCUCUCUCGUAAUUUUUUUCAGGUUUCUUAUCAGGUUGCCGGUUUCCUUUCUUCAUCCUGGGGAUCAGGACGUGCACACUCCCCACUCGAUCCAGUUUCCAGAAACUGCCAAUGCGCUCAUCCUAGCUCCACAAGUCCGGCGACCUCAGUGUCGCGGCCGCUGCCGCUCGGAGAUUCCACGCCGUAUUGGCGUCGUGCUCGUCGAUCCCAGCUUCCCCGAUUCAAUUCCUCCCACUCCCUCGCCGACGGUCCCGAAUCCCAGGCGGCGCUGGGGGGAGCUGCGCCGUGGAGCGCUUCCCGAUGGACGACGGCGCGUCCAUGGGUCACUGCACCGCCCACCGCAAGUACUUGUUUUCCUCCUUCCAGCCUCACAUUCCCCCGCUGGGGAGCGCAGUAUUCCCAUGCUGAACCCGUCGUCGCCGCGCCUCACCAUCCUCGACGCCCUCUCUGCCAGGCUUCUCUUCUGCACGGUUGUAAAGGGAUUGGGCGGUGGCAUAACAGGCCACGAGAGCGAUCUCCAACUUGGUGGAUCCUCUCUUAGCUUGAAGGAACCUGCGAAGAAAUCAUGCCCAAGCAGUUUUUAAAUAGCAAGAUCACUAGCACACAUGCUGAUGUGCACCCAAUUUCACUGAUGACUGUGGGAUGCAUCUAUAUCCUAUACUCAGAAUACUUUUUUCUGAAUUUUCUCUUUGUUAAAUACUUGAUGGGUAGAUGGUAUGCUUGAUUUGUUAUUCUGCACUCAUUUUUGGCAAAGUAGUAUGUAUACUAUUUUGAUUUACCAUUAUGUGAAUUAAAUUAUUAGCAUACACUAGAAGCUAAAUUUUCUUGAUUAACCAUGGUCCGGUGUUAUGCAUAAUUUUCUAAGUUGUUGGCUGCAAUGGUAUCUUAAAUCUAGCGCUAGUGGGCAUGCUCAGCUAGGUUGAGGCAAAUUAUUCUGGUUCUAUAAUUAUAAAGUUACAGAGCUGGAGUGUUUUAACAAUAAAACUUCACGUUUAAGUGGAACAGAAAAUUCAUCAAGUCUCUUUGGUAGUAUCAUGGUAAGCAUGCCUGAUAUUUGAAGUUUCCAGUGCAGAUCCACUGAGAAUAUGCGAGGAAAUAUGCGUUGCUAAUAGGUGAGAAUAUUUUUAUGUACUGUGUUAGUGAGACUGCCAGGUGCUAGAAGAAAACGCGUAAUGCUUGAACAAUCUUUUAUUAAUUUUACAUCUUUUCUUCAUAUACGUCUCUUAGUCUCCGUGGCUCACUCAGCUGUAUUUUGUUUUGAGAAUAAUUCCACUGUAGUUUGUAAGUAUGUUAUUUCGAAAGGUCGUAAAAAUGCUACUCACAGACAUGAAGUGAAAAUAAUAUAUAUCUUGAAGAGAACCAACAAUGCUGCUAAUGUAACUUCAGUUGAGCUUGUCUUUAGAGAUGGAUAGAUGUGGAAAAAAAUGCUUGUCCGUAUAUCCUUCUACUAAUUAGUCUAUUUUUCAAUAAUUUUUUUUAUUAGUGUUAUGUUUUCUUAAGCUCUUCACAUGGUGAAGUUAUAUGGCCCUUGCGCUUGUGGUUUGCUAGCCAGUGAUACUUAUUAUCAUGUGACGCAUUAGUUGCUCCAAACAUAAUAUAAAUGCUUCAAUAACUUAUCUCUGAAAGGAAAUCUUAUUUCUGAAGUUUCCAAUUCUGCUGGGGCUUGCAGAUUUAAAAUAUGU